AGAGUUUGAUCAUGGCUCAGGAUGAAUGCUGGCGGCGUGCCUAACACAUGCAAGUCGAGCGGCAGCGAGGGGUGCUUGCACCCUGUCGGCGAGCGGCGAACGGCUGAGUAACGCGUAGGAAUUUGCCCCAAAGUGAGGAAUAACUGCCCGAAAGGGUAGCUAAUGCCGCAUAUGGUCUUCGGAUUAAAGGGUUUAUCCGCUUUGGGAGAAGCCUGCGUUGGAUUAGGUUGUUGGUAGGGUAAUGGCCUACCAAGCCGACGAUCCAUAGCUGGUCUGAGAGGAUGAUCAGCCAGACUGGAACUGAGACACGGUCCAGACUCCUACGGGAGGCAGCAGUGAGGAAUCUUCCACAAUGGGCGAAAGCCUGAUGGAGCAACGCCGCGUGAAGGAUGAAGGCCUUCGGGUUGUAAACUUCUUUUAUGAGUGAAGAAUAUGACGGUAACUCAUGAAUAAGCACCGGCUAACUACGUGCCAGCAGCCGCGGUCAUACGUAGGGUGCAAGCAUUAUCCGGAGUGACUGGGCGUAAAGAGUUGCGUAGGCGGUUUAAUAAGUGAAUAGUGAAACCUGGUGGCUCAACCAUACAGACUAUUAUUCAAACUGUUAAACUCGAGAAUGGUAGAGGCAACUGGAAUUUCUUGUGUAGGAGUGAAAUCCGUAGAUAUAAGAAGGAACACCAAUGGCGUAGGCAGGUUACUGGGCCAUUUCUGACGCUAAGGCACGAAAGCGUGGGGAGCGAACCGGAUUAGAUACCCCGGUAGUCCAA
Molecule: ribosomal RNA, 764 nt
Filed under: uncultured bacterium
Lineage: Bacteria
Description: bacterial SSU rRNA
Rfam family: Bacterial small subunit ribosomal RNA
Source: RNAcentral